AUGGAUGAUGAUAUGCACUGGGCUCUGAGCAGCUAAAGCUGUUUCGUUUGAUGUAAUGCAAGCCUAGAAAGCUAUGUCUGACUA
This is a small nucleolar RNA of Lotus japonicus, 84 nucleotides long. The record is from RefSeq and is a predicted model, not a curated record. NCBI's taxonomy places the organism in Eukaryota, Viridiplantae, Streptophyta, Magnoliopsida, Fabales, Fabaceae.